ACUGCUGUCGGAUCUCGCCCUUGUUUCCGGUGAGAGGGUUGUUCUCGGAGAGAAUGGUGAAGGCUCUCGAAAACUCCUUGAAGAAGUAGUCUUGGCUCUUGGCCAUUUUCUUGACGUAGGGUUUUGUCCUCUUGUCUGUGGCUAGCUGGUGAUCCACCAUCAUCAAACCCUUGUUGUCCAAGAUGUUUCUGUAGUAGUUAUUAUCGAAGAUCAUGGGGGUACCGCGGUCAUUUCUCACGUACUGAACGGCUUUCGGGUCGGGGAUUGCAUCAGGGCACUUCUUGAGCAUGUGAGGGACAUGGUCAGGGUUGAGCUGAGGAUCAACUUCUGGGUACAACCGGUGCACCAGCUUCACACAAUGUGUUCUUCCAACACUGUGAGCUCCUGCAAUUGGUUCCAACAUAUACGACAAAAUUAGUGUUUCUGAUAGCGUUUGAUAUAAAAAAAUUCCUGGAGAAGCAAAAUUGUAUAUGAAAGAGUUAAAGAGUGUUUUAGGGCAACAAAAUCACUUACGACUUAUGAUUCUUUGAAAAGUUCUUUUAUCACAUAGAAGCACUUCUAGCAGAAGCGUUUUCCAAAAAAGCAAAUCUCAAACAAGGCUUAGAAGUGUUUCCUUAAGAACGCUUGUUCUCGAAAUAGCACUUAUAUUUUUAUUUUAACCUUUAAACGUGCUUCUAGUAAAAGCAGCU
Molecule: long non-coding RNA, 689 nt
Filed under: Malus domestica (apple)
Lineage: Eukaryota; Viridiplantae; Streptophyta; Magnoliopsida; Rosales; Rosaceae
Description: long non-coding RNA (MDOM_LNC009768)
Source: RNAcentral